This is a long non-coding RNA of Anguilla rostrata (American eel), 1771 nucleotides long. RefSeq lists it as uncharacterized. The record is from RefSeq and is a predicted model, not a curated record. NCBI's taxonomy places the organism in Eukaryota, Metazoa, Chordata, Actinopteri, Anguilliformes, Anguillidae. The transcript has 2 exons.
CACAAGUAUGUGGAGCAGCAGUUCCUGCACUUUCCCCACUCUGACAACAGAGGCAGCACCACAAAUCACUCCCCAAAGAUUAGGGCAUAAAGCAGGAAUUUGGCAGGUAAGGGAUAAACCAUGAUGUUUUUCAGAUAGAAGAGACCUUAUAGAAUAUGAAUAUGAUAUUAAUUACCAAAAAUGUUAAAAAUCCAUUGUGCCAGAAUUUUACAAAAACAUGCUCAACUGUGCGGUUGAUAUCGUCGGUAAAGGGUAGAAAUGACCAUGAGGCAAGGCAGAUGUUAGCAUAGUAGUUAGUGUGGUAGGAAGAUGUUUGACUGGAAAAAGUGAACAAAUACAAUGUAAUUAUAGUAUAUUACUAAAACACAAUAUUAUCCUAUUACAUUAUACACUGCCUGACCAAAAAAGAAAAAGUCUCCGUUUGGAUUUUUUUGGACAUUGCCCACUGUACUGGCCUCUGGAGGCAGUGUUAUGAUCUGGGGUUGCUUCAGUUGGUCAGGUCUAGGCUCAGCAACGUUAUGCGGCAAUAAAAUUAAGUCAGCUGAGUACCUGAUUGUACUGAAUGACCAGGUUAUCCCAUCAAUGGAUUUUUUCUUCCCUGACGGCACGGGCAUAUUCCAGGACGACAAUGAUUCAUUGGGCUCAAAUUGUGAAAGAGUUGUUCUGGGAGCAUGAGGAAUCAUUUUCACUCAUGAAUUGGCCACCACAGAGUCCUGACCUUAACGCCAUUGAAAGUCUUUGGGAUGUGCUGGAGAAGACUUCACGGAGUGGUUCGACUCUCCCAUUGUCAAUACAAGAUAAUGCAAUUCUGGACGGAAAUAAAUGUUGUGACGUUGCAUAAGGUUGUCGAAACAAUGCCAUGACGAAUGCACACCGUAAUCAAAGCUAAAGGCGGUCCAACUAAAUAUUAGAGAGUACGACUUUUUUUUGGCCAGGCAGUGUAUGUCAGCAUAUGUUAGUAUGCACAUAUAUGUUAUGGGAAAACAUGUAAUGCAGUGUAUUGUUUCAUUCUUAGUGAUGGACACCAAAUUUUUCUAUGGCACAGGAAAGGGUAGCAAAGCUGUGGUCCCCCUUGAUCCAGAGGAGUCAGACAUAGAGGACAGUGAUGAGGACUUGGAUGAUCCUGACUAUGUGCCAAGGCACACAUGUGACACAGUUGAAGAGUUACCAAUCCCUGAGCUUAGUGAGCCUGAUACACACUCAGCCUGUGGCCCACAGCGAGGGCGAUGCAAACUCUACCCAAAGGGGGUGUCACGAUGGAAGUGUGCAGAGUGUCUAAGCACUGCUGUGUCUAAACAGCACACAGCGGUGCUUUGUCACGUAUCAUCUCAAAUGAAAGCUGAAAAUGAGGUGAAUAGGAGAUUCCAAAGCUGAUCAGUUGAAAAAAUAUGUUCAGGACUGAGGAUGAACUCAGAUACCUGAAAUGGGUGUUUUUUAAAGUUUAAAGUUUUUUUAAGUUUUGUUCAUGAGUUUAUACUUAAAAUAAAAUGGCGAUGUAUCAAAUGGUGCCUAUCUAUACAUCAGAAAUGCCAUAUGACGCAGUAUAUGUCAAUAUAUACAUAUUUGUGGACCUAGCCAUUGUAAUUGAUGGGACAUUUACAGGCCAAAAACAUGUUGAUGGACUGUAAAAAAAGCAAUAAACUGUUUUAAGGUUUUAAAGAGAGAUUAAAAUGAUUGUGUUUCAGGAAUGUUCAGAAAUAUAGCAAUUUGUGAAUAGCAUCUUUUACCAUAUACUGACAUCUCAACCGUACGGUAGAGGUCUAUAAUUUCU